UACGUAGGCAGCGAGCGUUGUUCGGAGUUACUGGGCGUAAAGAGUGCGUAGGCGGUUUUCUAAGUUUGGUGUGAAAUCUCCCGGCUUAACUGGGAGGGUGCGCCGAAAACUGGAAGGCUUGAGUUUGGGAGAGGGACGCGGAAUUCCAGGUGUAGCGGUGAAAUGCGUAGAUAUCUGGAGGAACACCGGUGGCGAAGGCGGCAUCCUGGACCAAUAUUGACGCUGAGGAGCGAAAGCCAGGGGAGCAAACGGG
This 253-nucleotide ribosomal RNA is filed under the name uncultured bacterium. RNAcentral describes it as "partial 16S ribosomal RNA". It matches the Rfam family "Bacterial small subunit ribosomal RNA", at positions 524 to 776 of the family's 1533-position model. The record is from RNAcentral.